UCCCUGGUCUAGUGGUUAGGAUUUAUUAUUUUCAUGGCUGUGGCCUGAGUUCAAUUUCCAAUCAGGGAA
Molecule: transfer RNA, 69 nt
Filed under: Homo sapiens (human)
Lineage: Eukaryota; Metazoa; Chordata; Mammalia; Primates; Hominidae
Description: tRNA-Glu-TTC-15-1
Source: RNAcentral